GCAAGUCGAGCGCAGUCCUUCGGGACCGAGCGGCGGACGGGUUAGUAACGCGUGGGAACGUACCCUUUUCUACGGAAUAGCCUCGGGAAACUGAGAGUAAUACCGUAUACGCCCUUCGGGGGAAAGAUUUAUCGGAUUUGGAUCGGCCCGCGUUAGAUUAGAUAGUUGGUGGGGUAAUGGCCUACCAAGUCUACGAUCUAUAGCUGGUUUGAGAGGAUGAUC
This 222-nucleotide ribosomal RNA is filed under the name uncultured bacterium. Its description in RNAcentral is "partial 16S ribosomal RNA". It matches the Rfam family "Bacterial small subunit ribosomal RNA", at positions 57 to 305 of the family's 1533-position model. The record is from RNAcentral.